AACAUCGCCUCCUGCAAAAAUCAAUGUAUAGGAGGUCCUGCCUGCCCAGUGACAACUUGUUAAACGGCCGCGGUAUUUUGACCGUGCUAAGGUAGCGCAAUCACUUGUCUUUUAAAUGAAGACCUGUAUGAAUGGUGGAACGAGGGCUUAACUGUCUCCCUUCUCCCGUCAAUGAAAUUGAUCUGCCCGUGCAGAAGCGGACAUACACAUACAAGACGAGAAGACCCUUUGGAGCUUAUUGGGGCGACCGCGGGGGAAAACAAAGCCCCCACGUAAUACCGAGAGAGACAUCUCUAAGCCACAGAAUAUCUGACCAAAAGAUCCGGCCCACAGGCCGAUCAACGAACCAAGUUACCCUAGGGAUAACAGCGCAAUCCCCUCCAAGAGUUCAUAUCGACGAGAGGGUUUACGACCUCGAUGUUGGAUCAGGACAUCCUAAUGGUGCAGCCGCUAUUAAGGGUUCGUUUGUUCAACGAUUAAAGUCCUACGUGAUCU
RNAcentral lists this ribosomal RNA (495 nucleotides) under Curimatella immaculata. RNAcentral describes it as "partial 16S ribosomal RNA". It matches the Rfam family "Bacterial large subunit ribosomal RNA", at positions 1812 to 2606 of the family's 2925-position model. Lineage: Eukaryota; Metazoa; Chordata; Actinopteri; Characiformes; Curimatidae. The record is from RNAcentral.